RNAcentral lists this ribosomal RNA (301 nucleotides) under uncultured bacterium. Its description in RNAcentral is "partial 16S ribosomal RNA". It matches the Rfam family "Bacterial small subunit ribosomal RNA", at positions 509 to 807 of the family's 1533-position model. The record is from RNAcentral.
CAGUAGCCGCGGUAAUACGGAGGGUGCGAGCGUUAAUCGGAAUAACUGGGCGUAAAGGGCACGCAGGCGGUUAUUUAAGUGAGGUGUGAAAGCCCCGGGCUUAACCCGGGAAUUGCAUUUCAGACUGGGUAACUAGAGUACUUUAGGGAGGGGUAGAAUUCCACGUGUAGCGGUGAAAUGCGUAGAGAUGUGGAGGAAUACCGAAGGCGAAGGCAGCCCCUUGGGAAUGUACUGACGCUCAUGUGCGAAAGCGUGGGGAGCAAACAGGAUUAGAUACCCGCGUAGUCCCUGUCUCUUAUAC